AGGAAUUGGCGGGGGAGCACUACAACGGGUGGAGCCUGCGGUUCAAUUGGAUUCAACGCCGGAAAGCUUACCGGGUCAGACAGCACUAUGAAGGUCAAGCUAAAGACUUUACCGAAUUCGCUGAGAGGAGGUGCAUGGCCGUCGUCAGUUCGUAUCGUGAGACAUCCUGUUAAGUCAGGCAACGAGCAAGACCCGUGCCCACAGUUGCCAGCAUACCCUCCGGGGUGAUGGGCACACUGUGGGGACCGCCGCUGCUAAAGCGGAGGAAGGUGCGGGCUACGGUAGGUCAGUAUGCCCCGAAUCAUCCGGGCUACACGCGGGCUACAAUGGUUGGGACAAUGGGCACCUACACCGAGAGGUGAUGGUAAUCUCCUAAACCCAGCCUUAGUUCGGAUUGAGGGCUGCAACUCGCCCUCAUGAAGCCGGAAUCCGUAGUAAUCGCGUAUCAAUAUCACGCGGUGAAUACGUCCCUGCUCCUUGCACACACCGCCCGUCAAACCAUGCGAGUGAGGUCUGAAUGAGGGCACGCUUUUUGGCGUGUUCGAAUUUGGGCUUCGCGAGUGGGGUUAAGUCGUAACAAGGUAACCUCAGUCAGUCA
Molecule: ribosomal RNA, 598 nt
Filed under: uncultured euryarchaeote
Lineage: Archaea; Methanobacteriati; Methanobacteriota
Description: bacterial SSU rRNA
Rfam family: Archaeal small subunit ribosomal RNA
Source: RNAcentral